Odocoileus virginianus texanus is the source of this 356-nucleotide long non-coding RNA. RefSeq lists it as uncharacterized. NCBI's taxonomy places the organism in Eukaryota, Metazoa, Chordata, Mammalia, Artiodactyla, Cervidae. The record is from RefSeq and is a predicted model, not a curated record.
CUCAGACUGUCAGAGGUUUAUUGUGAAGAUCCACUUUUGAAAUGUGUUCAAGAGCUCAUAAAUGCAAACAAAUUAUGCAAUUUCUCCCUCAGGAAUCCAGGAGGAGUUACCCCUCCACCACCCAGUGGAUAUGAAUGUACUUUGGGAAAUGCUGAUGCAUCAUACGGAUCUUCCUUCAAAGAAGGACUUACUGCCUUAGCUCCUGGACUUACUCUCCCAUCAUGCAACAUAAUGGCAUAUUCGUAAUUAACACUUCUGAAAUGUUUGUGGAAUAAAUGGAAAUGGAUAUACAUUAAUAUACUUGGUUGUGCAAGUAUCUUUCUCCCUACUCAACUAUGAACCUCGGUGAAUCUGCG